Non-coding RNA from Xyrichtys novacula (pearly razorfish), 11960 nucleotides. The record is from the annotation of a GenBank genome assembly. Lineage: Eukaryota; Metazoa; Chordata; Actinopteri; Labriformes; Labridae.
AUUGCCAGGGACCCAGAACUGAUAAUCAGGACUUUUAGGCUUGGAUUUUGAUUGACAUGGCUAAUCAAAAGCCCAGUCCUACCUUCAGAAAAGAGCUUCACAGUUUGUACCCAACAGUCGUUACCAAGGACCCAGAACUGAUAGUCAGGACUUUAAGGCUGGGUGAAUAAAAAAUUGAUGGUUGGAAAAUUAAGGAGGAGUUCUCUUGUUUGUGUUUUGACAUUUUGGAGGUGUUCACAGAUGAAGACAAGCGGGGAGUUGAACAAGCGACCUUUGGAUGACAGCACUUCAUGUGAGAAACUUCCUACAGUCCUCUGCUCUACCAACUGAGCUAUCGAGGUGCUGUCUACUCACAAGUGCAGAAAACAUAGUGGCUGAGACGACACACUUUGCCCACACAACUAUUUGAUCCACAUGGUCAAUGAAAAGCCAAGCCCUACCUGCAGAACAAAGCUUCGCAGUUUGUACCCAACAGUCAUUGCCAGGGACCCAGAACUGAUAAUCAGGACUUUUAGGCUUGGCUUUUUAUUGACAUGGCUAAUCAAAAGCCCAGUCCUACCUUCAGAACAGAGCUUCACAGUUUGUACCCGACAGUCAUUGCCAAGGACCCAGAACUGAUAGUCAGGACUUUACAUUGGGUGAAUAAAAAAUUGAUGGUUGGAAAAUUAAGGAGGAGUUCUCUUGUUUGUGUUUUGACAUUUUGGAGGUGUUCACAGAUGAAGACAAGCAGGGAGUUGAACCAGCGACCUUUGGAUGACAGCACUUCAUGUGAGGAACUUCCUACAGUCCUCUGCUCUACCAACUGAGCUAUCGAGGUGCUGUCUACUCACAAGUGCAGAAAACAUAGUGGCUGAGACGACAUACUUUGCCCACACAACUAUUUGAUCCACAUGGUCAAUGAAAAGCCCAGCCCUACCUGCAGAACAAAGCUUCGCAGUUUGUACCCAACAGUCAUUGCCAGGGACCCAGAACUGAUAAUCAGGACUUUUAGGCUUGGCUUUUGAUUGACAUGGCUAAUCAAAAGCCCAGUCCUACCUUCAGAACAGAGCUUCACAGUUUGUACCCGACAGUCAUUGCCAAGGACCCAGAACUGAUAGUCAGGACUUUACAUUGGGUGAAUAAAAAAUUGAUGGUUGGAAAAUUAAGGAGGAGUUCUCUUGUUUGUGUUUUGACAUUUUGGAGGUGUUCACAGAUGAAGACAAGCGGGGAGUUGAACCAAGCGACCUUUGGAUCACAGCACUUCAUGUGAGAAACUUCCUACAGCCCUCUGCUCUACCAACUGAGCUAUCGAGGUGCUCUCUACUAACAAGUGCAGAAAACAUAGUGGCUGAGACGACACACUUUGCCCACACAACUAUUUGAUCCACAUGGUCAAUGAAAAGCCCAGCCCUACCUGACGAACAAAGGUUCGCAGUUUGUACCCAACAGUCAUUGCCAGGGACCCAGAACUGAUAAUCAGGACUUUUAAACUUGGCUUUUUAAUGACAUGGCUAAUCAAAAGCCCAGUCCUACCUUCAGAACAGAGCUCCACAGUUUGUACCCGACAGUCAUUGCCAAGGACCCAGAACUGAUAGUCAGGACUUUAAGGCUGGGUGAAUAAAAAAUUGAUGGUUGGAAAAUUAAGGAGGAGUUCUCUUGUUUGUGUUUUGACAUUUUGGAGGUGUUCACAGAUGAAAACAAGGACAAGCUGGGAGUUGAACCAGCGACCUUUGGAUCACAGCACUUCAUGUGAGGAACUUCCUACAGUCCUCUGCUCUACCAACUGAGCUAUCGAGGUGCUCUCCACUCACAAGUGCAGAAAACAUAGUGGCUGAGACGACACACUUUGCCCACACAACUAUUUGAUCCACAUGGUCAAUGAAAAGCCCAGCCCUACCUGCAGAACAAAGCUUCGCAGUUUGUACCCAACAGUCAUUGCCAGGGACCCAGAACUGAUAAUCAGGACUUUUAGGCUUGGAUUUUGAUUGACAUGGCUAAUCAAAAGCCCAGUCCUACCUUCAGAAAAGAGCUUCACAGUUUGUACCCAACAGUCAUUACCAAGGACCCAGAACUGAUAGUCAGGACUUUAAGGCUGGGUGAAUAAAAAAUUGAUGGUUGGAAAAUUAAGGAGGAGUUCUCUUGUUUGUGUUUUGACAUUUUGGAGGUGUUCACAGAUGAAGACAAGCGGGGAGUUGAACAAGCGACCUUUGGAUCACAGCACUUCAUGUGAGGAACUUCCUAAAGUCCUCUGCUCUACCAACUGAGCUAUCGAGGUGCUCUCCACUCACAAGUGCAGAAAACAUAGUGGCUGAGACGACACACUUUGCCCACACAACUAUUUGAUCCACAUGGUCAAUGAAAAGCCCAGCCCUACCUGCAGAACAAAGCUUCGCAGUUUGUACCCAACAGUCAUUACCAGGGACCCAGAACUGAUAAUCAGGACUUUUAGGCUUUGCUUUUGAUUGACAUGGCCAAUCAAAAGCCCAGUCCUACCUUCAGAACAGAGCUUCACAGUUUGUACCCGACAGUCAUUGCCAAGGACCCAGAACUGAUAGUCAGGACUUUAAGGCUGGGUGAAUAAAAAAUUGAUGGUUGGAAAAUUAAGGAGGAGUUCUCUUGUUUGUGUUUUGACAUUUUGGAGGUGUUCACAGAUGAAGACAUGGACAAGGGGGGAGUUGAACCAGCGACCUUUGGAUCACAGCACUUCCUACAGUCCUCUGCUCUACCAACUGAGCUAUCGAGGUGCUCUCUACUCACAAGUGCAGAAAACAUAGUGGCUGAGACGACACACUUUGCCCACACAACUAUUUGAUCCACAUGGUCAAUGAAAAGCCCAGCCCUACCUGCAGAACAAAGCUUCGCAGUUUGUACCCAACAGUCAUUACCAGGGACCCAGAACUGAUAAUCAGGACUUUUAGGCUUGGCUUUUCAUUGACAUGGCCAAUCAAAAGCCCAGUCCUACCUUCAGAACAGAGCUUCACAGUUUGUACCCAACAGUCAUUGCCAAGGACCCAGAACUGAUAGUCAGGACUUUAAGGCUGGGUGAAUAAAAAAUUGAUGGUUGGAAAAUUAAGGAGGAGUUCUUUUGUUUGUGUUUUGACAUUUUGGAGGUGUUCACAGAUGAAGACAAGCGGGGAGUUGAACCAGCGACCUUUGGAUCACAGCACUUCAUGUGAGGAACUUCCUACAGUCCUCUGCUCUACCAACUGAGCUAUCGAGGUGCUCUCUACUCACAAGUGCAGAAAACAUAGUGGCUGAGACGACACACUUUGCCCACACAACUAUUUGAUCCACAUGGUCAAUGAAAAGCCCAGCCCUACCUGCAGAACAAAGCUUCGCAGUUUGUACCCAACAGUCAUUACCAGGGACCCAGAACUGAUAAUCAGGACUUUAAGGCUUGGCUUUUCAUUGACAUGGCCAAUCAAAAGCCCAGUCCUACCUUCAGAACAGAGCUUCACAGUUUGUACCCGACAGUCAUUGCCAAGGACCCAGAACUGAUAGUCAGGACUUUAAGGCUGGGUGAAUAAAAAAUUGAUGGUUGGAAAAUUAAGGAGGAGUUCUCUUGUUUGUGUUUUGACAUUUUGGAGGUGUUCACAGAUGAAGACAAGGACAAGCUGGGAGUUGAACCAGCGACCUUUGGAUCACAGCACUUCAUGUGAGGAACUUCCUACAGUCCUCUGCUCUACCAACUGAGCUAUCGAGAUGCUCUCUGCUCACAAGUGCAGAAAACAUAGUGGCUGAGACGACACACUUUGCCCACACAACUAUUUGAUCCACAUGGUCAAUGAAAAGCCUAGCCCUACCUGCAGAACAAAGCUUCGCAGUUUGUACCCAACAGUCACUGCCAGGGACCCAGAACUGAUAAUCAGGACUUUUAGGCUUGGAUUUUGAUUGACAUGGCUAAUCAAAAGCCCAGUCCUACCUUCAGGACAGAGCUUCACAGUUUGUACCCAACAGUCAUUGCCAAGGACCCAGAACUGAUAGUCAGGACUUUAGGGCUGGGUGAAUAAAAAAUUGAUGGUUGGAAAAUUAAGGAGGAGUUCUCUUGUUUGUGUUUUGACAUUUUGGAGGUGUUCACAGAUGAAGACAAGCGGGGAGUUGAACCAGCGACCUUUGGAUCACAGCACUUCCUACAGUCCUCUGCUCUACCAACUGAGCUAUCGAGGUGCUCUCUACUCACAAGUGCAGAAAACAUAGUGGCUGAGACGACACACUUUGCCCACACAACUAUUUGAUCCACAUGGUCAAUGAAAAGCCCAGCCCUACCUGCAGAACAAAGCUUCGCAGUUUGUACCCAACAGUCAUUGCCAGGGACCCAGAACUGAUAAUCAGGACUUUUAGGCUUGGCUUUUGAUUGACAUGGCCAAUCAAAAGCCCAGUCCUACCUUCAGAACAGAGCUUCACAGUUUGUACCCGACAGUCAUUGCCAAGGACCCAGAACUGAUAGUCAGGACUUUAAGGCUGGGUGAAUAAAAAAUUGAUGGUUGGAAAAUAAAAGGAGUUCUCUUGUUUGUGUUUUGACAUUUUGGAGGUGUUCACAGAUGAAGACAAGGACAAAGGGGAGUUGAACCAGCGACCUUUGGAUCACAGCACUUCAUGUGAGAACUUCCUACAGCCCUCUGCUCUACCAACUGAGCUAUCGAGGUGCUCUCUACUCACAAGUGCAGAAAACAUAGUGACUGAGACGACACACUUUGCCCACACAACUAUUUGAUCCACAUGGUCAAUGAAAAGCCCAGCCCUACCUGCAGAACAAAGCUUCGCAGUUUGUACCCAACAGUCAUUGCCAGGGACCCAGAACUGAUAAUCAGGACUUUUAGGCUGGGCUUUUCAUUGACAUGGCCAAACAAAAGCCCAGUCCUACCUUCAGAACAGAGCUUCACAGUUUGUACCCAACAGUCAUUGCCAAGAACCCAGAACUGAUAGUCAGGACUUUAAGGCUGGGUGAAUAAAAAAUUGAUGGUUGGAAAACUAAGGAGGAGUUCUCUUGUUUGUGUUUUGACAUUUUGGAGGUGUUCACAGAUGAAGACAAGGACAAGCGGGGAGUUGAACCAGCGACCUUUGGAUCACAGCACUUCAUGUGAGGAACUUCCUACAGUCCUCUGCUCUACCAACUGAGCUAUCGAGGUGCCCUCUACUCACAAGUGCAGAAAACAUAGUGGCUGAGACGACACACUUUGCCCACACAACAAUUUGAUCCACAUGGUCAAUGAAAAGCCCAGCCCUACCUGCAGAACAAAGCUUCGCAGUUUGUACCCAACAGUCAUUGCCAGGGACCCAGAACUGAUAAUCAGGACUUUUAGGCUGGGCUUUUCAUUGACAUGGCCAAUCAAAAGCCCAGUCCUACCUUCAGAACAGAGCUUCACAGUUUGUACCCAACAGUCAUUGCCAAGAACCCAGAACUGAUAGUCAGGACUUUAAGGCUGGGUGAAUAAAAAAUUGAUGGUUGGAAAACUAAGGAGGAGUUCUCUUGUUUGUGUUUUGACAUUUUGGAGGUGCUCACAGAUGAACACAAGGACAAGCGGGGAGUUGAACCAGCGACCUUUGCAUCACAGCACUUCAUGGGAGGAACUUCCUACAGUUCUCUGCUCUUACAACUGAGCUAUCGAGGUGCUCUCUACUCACAAGUGCAGAAAACAUAGUGGCUGAGACGACACACUUUGCCCACACAACUAUUUGAUCCACAUGGUCAAUGAGAAGCCCAGCCCUACCUGCAGAACAAAGCUUCGCAGUUUGUACCCAACAUUCAUUGCCAGGGACCCAGAACUGAUAAUCAGGACUUUUAGGCUGGGCUUUUCAUUGACAUGGCCAAUCAAAAGCCCAGUCCUACCUUCAGAACAGAGCUUCACAGUUUGUACCCAACAGUCAUUGCCAAGGACCCAGAACUGAUAGUCAGGACUUUAAGGCUGGGUGAAUAAAAAAUUGAUGGUUGGAAAACUAAAAAGGAGUUCUAUUGUUUGUGUUUUGAGAUUUUGGAGGUGCUCACAGAUGAAGACAAGGACAAGCGGGGAGUUGAACCAGCGACCUUUGCAUCACAGCACUUCAUGUGAGGAACUUCCUAUCGAGGUGCUCUCUACUCAGAAGUGCAGAAAACAUAGUGGCUGAGACGACACACUUUGCCCACACAACUAUUUGAUCCACAUGGUCAAUGAAAAGCCCAGCCCUACCUGCAGAACAAAGCUUCGCAGUUUGUACCCAACAGUCAUUGCCAGGGACCCAGAACUGAUAAUCAGGACUUUUAGGCUGGGCUUUUCAUUGACAUGGCCAAUCAAAAGCCCAGUCCUACCUUCAGAACAGAGCUUCACAGUUUGUACCCAACAGUCAUUGCCAAGGACCCAGAACUGAUAGUCAGGACUUUAAGGCUGGGUGAAUAAAAAAUUGAUGGUUGGAAAACUAAGGAGGAGUUCUCUUGUUUGUGUUUUGACAUUUCAGAGGUGUUAACAGAUGAAGACAAGGACAAGCGAGAAGUUGAACCAGCGACCUUUGCAUCACAGCACUUCAUGUGAGGAACUUCCUACAGUCCUCUGCUCUACCAACUGAGCUAUCGAGGUGCUCUCUACUCACAAGUGCAGAAAACAUAGUGGCUGAGACGACACACUUUGCCCACACAACUAUUUGAUCCACAUGGUCAAUGAAAAGCCCAGCCCUACCUGCAGAACAAAGCUUCGCAGUUUGUACCCAACAGUCAUUGCCAGGGACCCAGAACUGAUAAUCAGGACUUUUAGGCUGGGCUUUUCAUUGACAUGGCCAAUCAAAAGCCCAGUCCUACCUUCAGAACAGAGCUUCACAGUUUGUACCCAACAGUCAUUGCCAAGGACCCAGAACUGAUAGUCAGGACUUUAAGGCUGGGUGAAUAAAAAAUUGAUGGUUGGAAAACUAAGGAGGAGUUCUCUUGUUUGUGUUUUGACAUUUUGGAGGUGUUCACAGAUGAAGACAAGGACAAGCGGGGAGUUGAACCAGCGACCUUUGCAUCACAGCACUUCAUGUGAGGAACUUCCUACAGUCCUCUGCUCUACCAACUGAGCUAUCGAGGUGCUCUCUACUCACAAGUGCAGAAAACAUAGUGGCUGAGACGACACACUUUGCCCACACAACUAUUUGAUCCACAUGGUCAAUGAAAAGCCCAGCCCUACCUGCAGAACAAAGCUUCGCAGUUUGUACCCAACAGUCAUUGCCAGGGACCCAGAACUGAUAAUCAGGACUUUUAGGCUGGGCUUUUCAUUGACAUGGCCAAUCAAAAGCCCAGUCCUACCUUCAGAACAGAGCUUCACAGUUUGUACCCAACAGUCAUUGCCAAGGACCCAGAACUGAUAGUCAGGACUUUAAGGCUGGGUGAAUAAAAAAUUGAUGGUUGGAAAACUAAGGAGGAGUUCUCUUGUUUGUGUUUUGACAUUUUGGAGGUGUUCACAGAUGAAGACAAGGACAAGCGGGGAGUUGAACCAGCGACCUUUGCAUGACAGACCUUCAUGUGAGGAACUUGCUACCGUCCUCUGCUCUACCAACUGAGCUAUUGAGGUGCUCUCUACUCACAAGUGCAGAAAACAUAGUGGCUGAGACGACACACUCUGCCCACACAACUAUUUGAUCCACAUGGUCAAUGAAAAGCCCAGCCCUACCUGCAGAACAAAGCUUCACAGUUUGUACCCAACAGUCAUUGCCAAGAACCCAGAACUGAUAGUCAGGACUUUAAGGCUGGGUGAAUAAAAAAUUGAUGGUUGGAAAACUAAGGAGGAGUUCUCUUGUUUGUGUUUUGACAUUUUGGAGGUGCUCACAGAUGAACACAAGGACAAGCGGGGAGUUGAACCAGCGACCUUUGCAUCACAGCACUUCAUGGGAGGAACUUCCUACAGUUCUCUGCUCUUACAACUGAGCUAUCGAGGUGCUCUCUACUCACAAGUGCAGAAAACAUAGUGGCUGAGACGACACACUUUGCCCACACAACUAUUUGAUCCACAUGGUCAAUGAGAAGCCCAGCCCUACCUGCAGAACAAAGCUUCGCAGUUUGUACCCAACAUUCAUUGCCAGGGACCCAGAACUGAUAAUCAGGACUUUUAGGCUGGGCUUUUCAUUGACAUGGCCAAUCAAAAGCCCAGUCCUACCUUCAGAACAGAGCUUCACAGUUUGUACCCAACAGUCAUUGCCAAGGACCCAGAACUGAUAGUCAGGACUUUAAGGCUGGGUGAAUAAAAAAUUGAUGGUUGGAAAACUAAAAAGGAGUUCUAUUGUUUGUGUUUUGAGAUUUUGGAGGUGCUCACAGAUGAAGACAAGGACAAGCGGGGAGUUGAACCAGCGACCUUUGCAUCACAGCACUUCAUGUGAGGAACUUCCUAUCGAGGUGCUCUCUACUCAGAAGUGCAGAAAACAUAGUGGCUGAGACGACACACUUUGCCCACACAACUAUUUGAUCCACAUGGUCAAUGAAAAGCCCAGCCCUACCUGCAGAACAGAGCUUCGCAGUUUGUACCCAACAGUCAUUGCCAGGGACCCAGAACUGAUAAUCAGGACUUUUAGGCUGGGCUUUUCAUUGACAUGGCCAAUCAAAAGCCCAGUCCUACCUUCAGAACAGAGCUUCACAGUUUGUACCCAACAGUCAUUGCCAAGGACCCAGAACUGAUAGUCAGGACUUUAAGGCUGGGUGAAUAAAAAAUUGAUGGUUGGAAAACUAAGGAGGAGUUCUCUUGUUUGUGUUUUGACAUUUCAGAGGUGUUAACAGAUGAAGACAAGGACAAGCGAGAAGUUGAACCAGCGACCUUUGCAUCACAGCACUUCAUGUGAGGAACUUCCUACAGUCCUCUGCUCUACCAACUGAGCUAUCGAGGUGCUCUCUACUCACAAGUGCAGAAAACAUAUUGGCUGAGACGACACACUUUGCCCACACAACUAUUUGAUCCACAUGGUCAAUGAAAAGCCCAGCCCUACCUGCAGAACAAAGCUUCGCAGUUUGUACCCAACAGUCAUUGCCAGGGACCCAGAACUGAUAAUCAGGACUUUUAGGCUGGGCUUUUCAUUGACAUGGCCAAUCAAAAGCCCAGUCCUACCUUCAGAACAGAGCUUCACAGUUUGUACCCAACAGUCAUUGCCAAGGACCCAGAACUGAUAGUCAGGACUUUAAGGCUGGGUGAAUAAAAAAUUGAUGGUUGGAAAACUAAGGAGGAGUUCUCUUGUUUGUGUUUUGACAUUUCGGAGGUGUUCACAGAUGAAGACAAGGACAAGCGGGGAGUUGAACCAGCGACCUUUGCAUCACAGCACUUCAUGUGAGGAACUUCCUACAGUCCUCUGCUCUACCAACUGAGCUAUCGAGGUGCUCUCUACUCACAAGUGCAGAAAACAUAGUGGCUGAGACGACACACUCUGCCCACACAACUAUUUGAUCCACAUGGUCAAUGAAAAGCCCAGCCCUACCUGCAGAACAAAGCUUCGCAGUUUGUACCCAACAGUCAUUGCCAGGGACCCAGAACUGAUAAUCAGGACUUUUAGGCUGGGCUUUUCAUUGACAUGGCCAAUCAAAAGCCCAGUCCUACCUUCAGAACAGAGCUUCACAGUUUGUACCCAACAGUCAUUGCCAAGGACCCAGAACUGAUAGUCAGGACUUUAAGGCUGGGUGAAUAAAAAAUUGAUGGUUGGAAAACUAAGGAGGAGUUCUCUUGUUUGUGUUUUGACAUUUUGGAGGUUUUCACAGAUGAAGACAAGGACAAGCGGGGAGUUGAACCAGCGACCUUUGCAUGACAGACCUUCAUGUGAGGAACUUGCUACCGUCCUCUGCUCUACCAACUGAGCUAUUGAGGUGCUCUCUACUCACAAUUGCAGAAAACAUAGUGGCUGAGACGACACACUUUGCCCACACAACAAUUUGAUCCACAUGGCCAAUCAAAAGCCCAGUCCUACCUUCAGAACAGAGCUUCACAGUUUGUACCCAACAGUCAUUGCCAAGGACCCAGAACUGAUAAUCAGGACUUUUAGGCUGGGUGAAUAAAAAAUUGAUGGUUGGAUAAUUGAACGUUUCAAUCCCAAACUUUUCUUUUCCACUAAAUUCAACACCUGGCUCUGUACUUUCAUCAGCCAUACAUUUGCCCUUCUUUGUGCGCUGGAGGUCAUGUCUUUAGUCUUGGGAGCCUGAGUCGGUAACAGUUAAAGCUGACAGGGUUAUUUUUUAAGAGAGUCUGUUUGAGAUGCAAGUCACUGGUAAGUGUAUUAGCCACAAUAAAUGCUGGUCAUUGCACCCCCUUUAAUAAGACACUGCCAGGAGAGACAGCAGUUAAUUUGGCUAACGGUUCACUCUGGACAGGGUCAGAACUAAUAUAAGCAUUUCUCUUGAUUUAAAUGUACACUUUGGGGUGAUUUUAUUUUUACAUCGAAAAAAAAGACAUUUGUUUUUACACUACUUGAAGACACAACACGCACACAUGCUCUGCCACCUACAACCUGAUUGGCUUUUGGAUUAAUAUCUAUAUAUUACAGUGCUCAGAUUACAGAGCACAUACCAAUAGACUUGUCAUGUUUUCAGGUUUACUGAAAACAACACACUUAAUGGAGCUAAGAACACUUCUGGUGGUGUUCAGAGUGAUAGACAAAGUUUUACCAAAACAGCUGCAAGGGUUAUUUGAAAUUAGUUCAGAGAGUGAAAACCACAGGAGACCAUAUGAUUUUAAACACCAGUUUGCUCGGACGACGCUAAAGCAGAUGUGUAUUUCUGUAGCAGGUAUUAAGUUAUGAAAUUCGCAAAGUAAUGAGUUGAAGAGUUGUACAACAAUGUUUCAGUUUAAGAAAAAGUUUAAAGGAGGGAAAAUCAAAAAUUAUGAACUGGAUGAAGUGGAUGACUGAUGAUGUGUCAGUUUGUUUUUUUGUUAUUGAUUUUUUUUUUUUUCUUUUGUUUGUUUGAUUGUGGUAUUUUUUGGACCUUAAUUAUAUAAUAUUUUGAUCAAUUGCUGGCUGGUUACCAUAGAUAAAGGUGUUGUAGUGAAGGGGCAGUCGUAUAUAAGACUUGUCUUCUGUCUGCUCCUUUUCAUUUCACAUGAUUACACAUGAAAAAAAAAGGAUGAGUGCAAUGUAUCGUAUUAUGUAUAAUGAAUGAAAUUAAAUAAAUGAAUAAAUAAAAUAAAAAAAUAAAAAAUAUAUAUCCUGUACACAUGUAUAUAUAGUAAAUAAGACUCAUGUACAUAUCUUGUUUUAACUCUAUGCUUCUUUAUCCUUUAUUUCCCCUUUUUGUAUCUGUAUUUAUGCUGCUGUAAUUCUAUAUUUUGAAUUUUGAUGUUUUAAUCUAAAUUUUGCAUGUGAAGCAAUGCCGCAGCCCAAAAAGCUUAUCAGCGCACUGCCUGCGUAUAAGUAAAUAUUUGUGCAGCAUCUGCAAAUUGUCCAAAAACAAAUGGACUUUGUGGUGGCACAGUGCUAAGCCACGGAACGUGUCAGCAACAAAACAACAACAGACCUCCUUCUUUAUCACUCAUCCCCACAUUGAAGUGACUGACCUGCGUUUGAUUCAAUAAAACAUACAGGACGUGUCAGCACAGCCGUGUGACACAUGUAAAUGUGUUCGAUCAAGACGCCAAUUUAGAGCUUCCAGCUGAGAGGAGUCUUUGCUGUGAAGCACUAAAAUGUCACAAAGCUGCAUUUAUUCAUGUGACCACCACACACACACACACACACACACACACACACACACACACACACAUGCAAACACACACACACAUACAUUCCUGUCCAACACCAUGAGGACAAAAGAUGCUGAACUCCCCCGAGGAGAGUGACCUGGAGGACAGGCUCACGCACACCAGCUGGACUUUACUCCAAGACUUCACACACACACACACAGAGAGAGAGAGAGAGAGAGAGAGAGAGAGAGAGAGAGACUCCUCAUUGUCAUCAGAAAAAAGGAAGUGUCCAAGACUAUGACAUGUAAUUUCUGAUAUAACAUUUAUGUUAAAAUGGGUUGUUUUAAACAUCAAUUAAUCCAGAAAUCUCCACUCCAAUCUCUACUUUAUAGC